GGGUUGUGAGGUUAAGCGACUAAGCGUACACGGUGGAUGCCCUGGCAGUCAGAGGCGAUGAAGGACGUGCUAAUCUGCGAUAAGCGUCGGUAAGGUGAUAUGAACCGUUAUAACCGGCGAUUUCCGAAUGGGGAAACCCAGUGUGUUUCGACACACUAUCAUUAACUGAAUCCAUAGGUUAAUGAGGCGAACCGGGGGAACUGAAACAUCUAAGUACCCCGAGGAAAAGAAAUCAACCGAGAUUCCCCCAGUAGCGGCGAGCGAACGGGGAGCAGCCCAGAGCCUGAAUCAGUGUGUGUGUUAGUGGAAGCGUCUGGAAAGGCGCGCGAUACAGGGUGACAGCCCCGUACACAAAAAUGCACAUGCUGUGAGCUCGAUGAGUAGGGCGGGACACGUGGUAUCCUGUCUGAAUAU
This 414-nucleotide ribosomal RNA is filed under the name Escherichia coli. RNAcentral describes it as "bacterial LSU rRNA". It matches the Rfam family "Bacterial large subunit ribosomal RNA", at positions 1 to 445 of the family's 2925-position model. Lineage: Bacteria; Pseudomonadati; Pseudomonadota; Gammaproteobacteria; Enterobacterales; Enterobacteriaceae. The record is from RNAcentral.